This 1498-nucleotide long non-coding RNA is filed under the name Gallus gallus (chicken). RNAcentral describes it as "lncRNA (ENSGALG00010019723.1)". Lineage: Eukaryota; Metazoa; Chordata; Aves; Galliformes; Phasianidae. The record is from RNAcentral.
CAGAGAGCUUCUGAUCUUGGGCUCACAGCGAGAGCCAUCUGGACUUAAAUUCAGACGCAAGUAUAACUUCUGUUUUUUAAAGACUUGCUUGCAACUCGCUAAGAUGUUCUCUGUAUGCAGCAUUGUUUUCCCUACUUGUCCUCUGUGACAACAAACAACUUUAUAAAGAACCCCAACAGCUUUCUGCAAGAUCUUUGGCUUUGCUGAAGCACUGCUGAGCAGACCCGCAGCUGGACUGAGACAGGAAUGAGGCAGUCCAGCUAAUUUUGGCUGCUGCAGACAGGGGAGAUCUGCCACUCGCUUGGCCUUGCACAGGGCCACAGACUCACCAGCUGGCGAAACAGGUCUUAGAAGCGAGCAGUAGUGGCUGCACACAAAGGAGCCAGCUCUUGCUUUGGUAGGUAGGAACAGAAUACAAGGACCAAGCUGGGUGAAAACAGCAGCCAGGCUGGAAGCCACGCUCAGAGCACUGAGCCAUAGACAGUAGUUUCUGUUGGUUUGUUCAGGGGUCAGAACAGGUGAGGCCUCUAAAACUGUGUUUACGUGGCAGCAGUGCGCCAUUCCUCACUGCCAGCCAACAAGCUGUGAAGUUCUGAAGUAACUUACCCUUGGGCAUACAGCAAAGCUUGAAAGGAGGGUCAGCGUUUCGUAGAAAAUAGCAACUGCAUUUUUGGGAAUGGCUGUGUGUGGAGACAGCCCUGCUGCAGUGGACCACAGAGCCCAGGAGCACCAUGACAGCAGCAGUCAAGGCCAAACCCAGCGCCUCUGGGAACAGAGCAGUGUGUUAGGGCACCACAACAGAGGUCACCUCCGCCCAGCUGGGCCCCUGCACACACCUCUGCCUGCUUGCAUCAAGUGCAGAGAGCGGCCAGAAUCCAACCAGCCUUGGGUAGAACCCAUCUUCCCUGUUGGGCUGCUCUCGGGAGAAGAGCCCCCAAGCUCGAGCGAGCCCAUGGCAAACAGCCCAACUGCUGCCUACCACGGUAACGAAGGAAGACAUCUUGUCCAUUACCACUGCACGGCCGUGCGGCAUCGCAGGAGCACGCAGCUCACCACCGCUCCACGGGCAGGGCUGGGAAGAGGCAUAGGGAAGAGGGACGUGGGCUGCGCUCCAGCAGCAGGGCGGCCUGCCAGGUGGGGAGAGAGGCAGAGCGAGACUCUCAUCGAGUGCUAAGGAGAAUGCCGGAGCACCACUUGUUCCACGUGAUGCCUCAGCUUCUAAAAUUAAGUAGUUCGGUAAAACACCCCCCCUACAGCUAAGCCUCCUUUCUUCCUCGAAGGUUGUAGUACUUUGGCAAUAUCGGCUGCAAGAGAAUUUCGGACUGUAUGGUAGUGAACGCUUCGGCAUCGCACACACAGGAAGAACACAAAGUCAUGCUUUGCUGUCUCCUCCUGUUAGCAUUUCACAUCUCGGGAGCUUGUGACCAGUUAUGUUGAAAAGAAUUUGCUAUUCCACAUAACAAAUCAGCAUUGAAAAGGACACAUCUGAGGGAAAACA